Molecule: ribosomal RNA, 485 nt
Filed under: uncultured bacterium
Lineage: Bacteria
Description: partial 16S ribosomal RNA
Rfam family: Bacterial small subunit ribosomal RNA
Source: RNAcentral
GAUGAACGCUAGCGGCAGGCUUAACACAUGCAAGUCGAGGGGCAGCGCGGGAUAGCAAUAUCCUGGCGGCGACCGGCGGAAGGGUGCGUAACGCGUGAGCGACAUGCCCGUUGCCCGGGGACAACCGGUGGAAACGCCGACUAAUCCCCGAUGGGAUAUUGUGCCGCAUGGCACGAUAUUGAAAGUUACGGCGGCGACGGAUUGGCUCGCGUCCGAUUGGCUUGUUGGCGGGGGACCGGCCCACCAAGGCUGCGAUCGGUAGGGGUUCUGAGAGGAAGGCCCCCGACAAGGUGACUGGGAACCGGCCCAUAGUCCUACGGGAGGCAGCCGUAAGGAAUAUUGGACAAUGGGAGGAUGCAUGAACCAGCGAUGCCGGGUGCGGGAAGGAGGCCCUAUGGGCGGUGAACCGCUUUUGCCUGGGGGCAAUAAGGGCGUAGCGCACGUCCGAGGAGAGAACCAGGCGAAUAAGCAUCGGCUACCUCCGU